Panicum hallii is the source of this 852-nucleotide long non-coding RNA. RefSeq lists it as uncharacterized. NCBI's taxonomy places the organism in Eukaryota, Viridiplantae, Streptophyta, Magnoliopsida, Poales, Poaceae. The record is from RefSeq and is a predicted model, not a curated record. The transcript is spliced from 4 exons.
CCUCACGGCAUCAGCCUCUGCUUCCCUGCCGCCGCACCCGCCCCCUCCGCCUCGCUGCUGCUUCCCGAAUUGCAUCUGGACGCUCGCUUGCAGCCGCCGCCACCACCAUAGCCACUCACUGCAACUUCUUGUACUGCCUCGGGCCUGCCGGCUCCGUGUCCUCAUCCUCCUCCGCCAGCUGAUGCCGCCGCUCCUGCCCGGAAGGUCAAUCUCGAGGCCUAUGCCGGAUAUGACCAGCUCCUCCGCGCGCUCCAGGACAUUUUCUUCUCCCAGUUCACCGUCCCGAAGUUUCCACGUACGUGCUAAGCUAUUGGACGCAGUGAACGGGACAAAGUACGAGGACAAGGACGGUGACUGGAUGCCUGUCGUCGACGUCCCUGGAAGUCAAGUUCUUUGUGAAGAUCAGUCAACCAAUACUGCUGCCCAACAACUCAUUCUUGAUGAAAAGUUAAUUAUAUUUUUUGUUCCUUGCAUAGGUUGCUGUAGUAGUAAUGAGUUCCUGAACAAUAUUGGUCAAUGUAUCAGGUACAAAUCUAUCAUUUAAAGGUUAAGAUCCUAGUCAAGGUCCUGCAGUCUUGUGAAGUUCUGGUCAUCAUGUGCCUUAUCUCUAGCUCUGAGAAAACAUUGGACGCUACAUUGGUCAGUAGCAGACAAGGAGGACUAGUUGAUCUACAAGGACUGCAAGCUUCAUACUCAUUUUAGUGUUUCACUGUUUCAGCUACGUAGCUUCAGCAAAUCAACAUUGUAAUUUGGUCUAUGUUUGUAACUGAAUUUGUUACAAUAUUUAUUAUUUUAUAUUUUCUAUGAUGACAGUAAAGAGCAACAGAAUAUUUAUCAAGCUUGGCUUGAUCC